CUCUGUCUCAUUCGUUGAAUUAUUUAGCAGGAUACAUUCGUGAGUUGAAUGGAUUGCAAUCCAAGACUGUAAUGGAGGCUUAUGAUGAGCUGUCGUCAACAACAACACCAGUAAACUAUAUCGGUAGAA
This 129-nucleotide non-coding RNA is filed under the name Skeletonema marinoi. The record is from RNAcentral. Lineage: Eukaryota; Bacillariophyta; Thalassiosirophyceae; Thalassiosirales; Thalassiosiraceae.